Molecule: long non-coding RNA, 1136 nt
Filed under: Ananas comosus (pineapple)
Lineage: Eukaryota; Viridiplantae; Streptophyta; Magnoliopsida; Poales; Bromeliaceae
Description: long non-coding RNA (ACOM_LNC021353)
Source: RNAcentral
GGCGUUUCGGAUCUAAUUUUGGUCUUUUGAGAGAUUUUCUUGUACUCCGCCUUUUCGACAUUAAUAAAGUAUUUGCUCCGUCUUCGCCCAUGGACGUAGGCCGUUGGCGGAACCACAUAAAUAUCGGUGUAUUCUUUCCUUAUUUUUUCUUUUCUUGCAUUAAUUUAAUUUCUAGAUCUAUUUUUCGCCGUUCCGAUUUUAACAUGCUCUUUAUUUUUUUCUUCCUUACUUUCUCACUCUUUACUUUCUCUUUUCUUACUUUCUCUUUUGAACUUUUCUCUUCUUAAUUUCUCUCUCCACUUUCUUUCUCCCCAAUUUCUCUCUCACUUUCUAUUUCUUUAGUUUCUCUCUCUUUACUUUCUCUCCUUAAUUUCUCUUUUUAUUUCUCUGUCCGUAAUUUCUCUAUCUUUGCUUUCUCUUUCCUCAAUUUGUCUUUUUUCACUCUCUUAUUAAUCUCUAUUUAUUUUCUCUCUUCUUAAUUCUUUCUCGCACUUUUCUUUAUGAUGCUUUUUUUUAUUUUCUUUUUAAUUUCUCUUUCUUUAUCUUCCUUCGCUUUCUUUCUCCUUUUUUUUUUUCUUUCUUCUCACUUUCUUCCUCAUUAUCUUCUCUCUCAUCGUUCUCUCUUUUGUUGUAACACUCUUUAGUUUCCAUCUUAUUAUUUUCUCUUUCAUGCCUCACUCUAUCUUCGCACUUUCUCUCUCUCAUUAUCUUCUCUCUCCUCACUUAUUCUCUCUUCACUUUUUCUCUUUUCUCUUUCUUUGUUAUAUCUCUCUUCAAUUUCUCUUCUCAUUUCUUUUUGUCACCUUAUCUGUUCUCUCCAUUUGCUCUACUAUUCCUUUAUUCUCUUUUUCACUAUCCUUUUAUUUUUUUUUUUUGCUCUCCUUUUUUUUUGUAUAAAUUGAGUUUUAAAAUCGAGGUUUUAAAAUAAAUUUUCGAGAAGGGUUGACUAGUUUUGUAAAAUUAUAUAGUUUUCAAUGAAACAAAAAUGCCACUCCCUAGGUUUGAUAGUAUAGAAAUUCGUAGAAGUGAUCGUUUUGUGAUUUUUCAUGAUAAAAGUGUGAUUUAUAGAGAAAUAAUGAGAGGGUAAACGAGAUGUUUUGGGCUAUUUUUGUAAAAAGCAUGACAUUUUAUAUGAU